AGAUUCAGAUAUACAUGAAAAUCAUUUUGCAUAAUGAAGGAUUAAAAUCAAAUUGUUUUGGGACAGCAGAGGAUGAAGAAACUCAUUUUGACUGAAGUUAUUGGAUGAGACAUGGCUGUGGACAACUUCAGAGAAGAUAUAUUUAAGCAGAACCUUAAACUUAUGUCAGAAUUUUUAAUCACCAGAGAUCAGCAAAGCCAAAGGCAUAUAGACUAUUUCUCAGAUGCACUUGUCAAGAUGAGAGAAUGUGGGCAGAGGUGUAUAAAAUUGCUCUGAAGACAUUCAAUGACAGCCAGCCUCCUUAAAAGAUGUGUUUAAAAGUGGAAGACUUACACAGUUGCAUUCGAACAGGGAAUUACUCCUCCCAAGAAUAUUCUUCCAAGGUAA
RNAcentral lists this long non-coding RNA (387 nucleotides) under Homo sapiens (human). Its description in RNAcentral is "HSALNT0192751". The record is from RNAcentral. Lineage: Eukaryota; Metazoa; Chordata; Mammalia; Primates; Hominidae.